AUUGAACGCUGGCGGCAUGCUUUACACAUGCAAGUCGAACGGCAGCGCGGGCUUCGGCCUGGCGGCGAGUGGCGAACGGGUGAGUAAUACAUCGGAACGUGCCCCGUAGUGGGGGAUAGCUCGGCGAAAGCCGGACUAAUACCGCAUACGACCUGAGGGUGAAAGCGGGGGAUCUUCGGACCUCGCGCUCUUGGAGGGGCCGAUGGCAGAUUUGCUAGUUGGUGGGGUAAAGGCCUACCAAGGCGACGAUCUGUAGGUGGUCUGAGAGGACGACCAGCCACACUGGGACGGAGACACGGCCCAGACUCCUACGGGAGGCAGCAGUGGGGAAUUUUGGACAAUGGGCGAAAGCCUGAUCCAGCAAUGCCGCGUGUGUGAUGAAGGCCUUCGGGUUGUAAAGCACUUUUGGCGGGAACGAAAAGUACUGUGCCAAUACCACGGUUCGAUGACGGUACCCGCAGAAUAAGCACCGGCUAACUACGUG
This 484-nucleotide ribosomal RNA is filed under the name uncultured bacterium. RNAcentral's name for it is "partial 16S ribosomal RNA". It matches the Rfam family "Bacterial small subunit ribosomal RNA", at positions 29 to 507 of the family's 1533-position model. The record is from RNAcentral.